This 253-nucleotide ribosomal RNA is filed under the name uncultured prokaryote. Its description in RNAcentral is "partial 16S ribosomal RNA". It matches the Rfam family "Bacterial small subunit ribosomal RNA", at positions 525 to 777 of the family's 1533-position model. The record is from RNAcentral.
ACGUAGGGUGCGAGCGUUGUCCGGAAUUAUUGGGCGUAAAGAGCUCGUAGGCGGUCUGUCGCGUCGGCUGUGAAAACCCGGAGCUCAACUCCGGGCCUGCAGUCGAUACGGGCAGACUGGAGUUCGGCAGGGGAGACUGGAAUUCCUGGUGUAGCGGUGAAAUGCGCAGAUAUCAGGAGGAACACCGGUGGCGAAGGCGGGUCUCUGGGCCGAUACUGACGCUGAGGAGCGAAAGCGUGGGGAGCGAACAGGA